UCGAGCGGUAGAGAGAAGCUUGCUUCUCUUGAGAGCGGCGGACGGGUGAGUAAUGCCUAGGAAUCUGCCUGGUAGUGGGGGAUAACGUUCGGAAACGGACGCUAAUACCGCAUACGUCCUACGGGAGAAAGCAGGGGACCUUCGGGCCUUGCGCUAUCAGAUGAGCCUAGGUCGGAUUAGCUAGUUGGUGAGGUAAUGGCUCACCAAGGCGACGAUCCGUAACUGGUCUGAGAGGAUGAUCAGUCACACUGGAACUGAGACACGGUCCAGACUCCUACGGGAGGCAGCAGUGGGGAAUAUUGGACAAUGGGCGAAAGCCUGAUCCAGCCAUGCCGCGUGUGUGAAGAAGGUCUUCGGAUUGUAAAGCACUUUAAGUUGGGAGGAAGGGCAUUAACCUAAUACGUUGGUGUCUUGACGUUACCGACAGAAUAAGCACCGGCUAACUCUGUGCCAGCAGCCGCGGUAAU
RNAcentral lists this ribosomal RNA (467 nucleotides) under uncultured bacterium. Its description in RNAcentral is "bacterial SSU rRNA". It matches the Rfam family "Bacterial small subunit ribosomal RNA", at positions 62 to 524 of the family's 1533-position model. The record is from RNAcentral.